AUACGUAGGGGGCGAGCGUUGUCCGGAAUGAUUGGGCGUAAAGGGCGCGUAGGCGGCGCGGUAAGUCUGGAGUGAAAGUCCUGCUUUCAAGGUGGGAAUUGCUUUGGAUACUGCCGCGCUUGAGUGCAGGAGAGGAUAUCGGAAUUCCCGGUGUAGCGGUGAAAUGCGUAGAGAUCGGGAGGAACACCAGUGGCGAAGGCGGCUAACUGGACUGCAACUGACGCUGAGGCGCGAAAGUGUGGGGAGCAAACAGGAUUAGAUACCCUGGUAGUCCACACUGUAAACGAUGAAUGCUAGGUGUAAGAGGUAUCGACCCCUUUUGUGCCGGAGUCAACACAAUAAGCAUUCCGCCUGGGGAGUACGGCCGCAAGGUUGAAACUCAAAGGAAUUGACGGGG
This 397-nucleotide ribosomal RNA is filed under the name uncultured bacterium. Its description in RNAcentral is "partial 16S ribosomal RNA". It matches the Rfam family "Bacterial small subunit ribosomal RNA", at positions 523 to 918 of the family's 1533-position model. The record is from RNAcentral.